Molecule: long non-coding RNA, 562 nt
Filed under: Mytilus galloprovincialis (Mediterranean mussel)
Lineage: Eukaryota; Metazoa; Mollusca; Bivalvia; Mytilida; Mytilidae
Source: RNAcentral
UGGAGGGAAAAAAUUGCAGCGGGGGUUUGACUUUGGAAUAUUCAAAAUGGCCGCCGUUACCAUGGAAACAGCAAAAAUACAAAAAACUUCAAAAUGCUUCAAAUUUAUUGAAACUUAUAACAAAUGUUGCUAAGCUAAUGUAUACUUGACUUUUGAGUUUGGAAUUUCCAAAAUGGCCGCCGUUACCAUGGCUACCGCUCACCUGGCAAUAGGGGAAGGGUGCCAUCCGCUAUUGCUUGCAAUCGCAAAUCUAGUUUUUAUUAAUCUUCUUCCACACUUUUUGUCCACGCUAGUUCUCAGAACCAAAUGGGUCAAUGUUGAUGGAACUCUACUAUAAUAAGGACCCCCAUGUGAAGUUGUGCAUCUUGCUAUGGAAUGGUCCAAGAUGGCCGCCGUUUCCAUGGAAACGGUAAAAAUGUAAAAAAAAAUCAAAAUUCCAAAUCUUUCAUUGUAAGACCCAACUGGAUGAAACUUUAUGGAAAUGUUCCUUGGUAUGCCCUGAUAUACCGACAAUAUUUAGAAAUUCCAAAAUGGCCGCCAUUGUCAUGGAAACAAGGCGAAA